RNAcentral lists this transfer RNA (70 nucleotides) under Dipodomys ordii (Ord's kangaroo rat). It matches the Rfam family "tRNA". From Rfam's summary of the family: Transfer RNA (tRNA) molecules are approximately 80 nucleotides in length. Their secondary structure includes four short double-helical elements and three loops (D, anti-codon, and T loops). The record is from Rfam by way of RNAcentral. Lineage: Eukaryota; Metazoa; Chordata; Mammalia; Rodentia; Heteromyidae.
GGUAAGGUGGCUCAGUGGUAGAGUGCUUGCCUUGCAUGCAUGAGGCCCUGGGUUCAAUUCCUCAGUACCA